This 25-nucleotide non-coding RNA is filed under the name Rattus norvegicus (Norway rat). Lineage: Eukaryota; Metazoa; Chordata; Mammalia; Rodentia; Muridae. The record is from RNAcentral.
GCAAAUGUAUACAAAGUCAGGUGUG